This 969-nucleotide small RNA is filed under the name Rattus norvegicus (Norway rat). RNAcentral describes it as "uncharacterized LOC102552402". Lineage: Eukaryota; Metazoa; Chordata; Mammalia; Rodentia; Muridae. The record is from RNAcentral.
CAUAUAAAGCACUUCAUUCUGAAUGCUGCAGUGAUCUAUCUAAGGCAAAGGAAAUUGUUCUGUCAGGAAACUUGUCUUAAAAUGCAUACAGAUAUGAUAAAGUCCUAUUUUUCAUGCUAGAUAUUGCUGAAAAUUUGGCCAUGUAUCCGGAGAACCAUAAAAAAAAUCCCCCACAUUGUAAGUUUUCAGAAUCCCUUGAGAAUCACAUUACCUUUGUUAAAAAUUAAAAGGAAAAAAAUAAAAGCCACUACUUCUUGUACAUUCAGGAACUGAUAGUCGUUAUCUUUGAAGGGAAGAAAAUGAAAACAGGCCAAGUCAUACAUCUACAUUCCAGACUGUUUACUCUCUUAUCAAAUUAAAUGAAACGAGAGCCCUGGCUGGCUCACUGACAGUUCCUAGCCAACCAUCAUUUUUUCAUUCUGAAUUUCACCAAGGUCUUAGAAUUCUUAAGAUAAGCUUCAGAGAAUCAACUGUAAACCCGGGAGAGAAAAAAGAAAACAACUUUGGUAUUUUUAAGAUACCUAUCCUUCCUCGCAAGACAGGGUUUUCGACAAUGUUGGAGGAGAGGAAAGGUGUGGGGACCAAGGCAUCAUGACAAGAUGACAGUUGACAAACUACAAAUCCUUCUCCAUUAAGUCUCCAUGUAAUAAAACAGAGCAGGACAUAGGAACUUGGAAAUCUCAGUGGGUGAUCUCAGGAUUCAGCUUCACAACUUCUGACAUCCAUUCUAUCCAGUUACAUCUAUAAAAGAUUCAUCCUCAUACUGCCCUCUGAAAGACCCAUCAAGCAGCUGAAAGAGUCAGAUGCAGAUAUUUGCACCCAACCAAUGAACAGAAGCUGCUGACCUCUCUGGUUGAAUUAGGGGAAAGCUGGAGGAAGCUGACGAGGAGCUGACAAGCAACCUUUUAGGAGGACCAGCAGUCUCAAUUAACCUGGACUCGCGAGAUCUCUCAGACACCAUAUCACCAA